AUUGAACGCUGGCGGCAUGCUUUACACAUGCAAGUCGAACGGUAACAGGUUAAGCUGACGAGUGGCGAACGGGUGAGUAAUGCAUCGGAACGCGCCCGAUCGUGGGGGAUAACGCAGCGAAAGCUGCGCUAAUACCGCAUACGAUCUGAGGAUGAAAGCGGGGGACCGUAAGGCCUCGCGCGAUCGGAGCGGCCGAUGUCAGAUUAGGUAGUUGGUGGGGCAAAGGCUCACCAAGCCGACGAUCUGUAGCGGGUCUGAGAGGACGACCAGCCACACUGGGACUGAGACACGGCCCAGACUCCUACGGGAGGCAGCAGUGGGGAAUUUUGGACAAUGGGCGAAAGCCUGAUCCAGCAAUGCCGCGUGCAGGAAGAAGGCCUUCGGGUUGUAAACUGCUUUUGUACGGAGCGAAAAGGCUCUCUCUAAUACAGGGGGCUCAUGACGGUACCGUAAGAAUAAGCACCGGCUAACUACGUGCCAGCCGCCGCCGUAA
This 493-nucleotide ribosomal RNA is filed under the name uncultured bacterium. Its description in RNAcentral is "partial 16S ribosomal RNA". It matches the Rfam family "Bacterial small subunit ribosomal RNA", at positions 29 to 523 of the family's 1533-position model. The record is from RNAcentral.